Molecule: non-coding RNA, 24 nt
Filed under: Rattus norvegicus (Norway rat)
Lineage: Eukaryota; Metazoa; Chordata; Mammalia; Rodentia; Muridae
Source: RNAcentral
UGACAGCCUGCCUUUAUCUGCUCC